RNAcentral lists this transfer RNA (85 nucleotides) under Escherichia coli. RNAcentral describes it as "tRNA-Tyr". It matches the Rfam family "tRNA". From Rfam's summary of the family: Transfer RNA (tRNA) molecules are approximately 80 nucleotides in length. Their secondary structure includes four short double-helical elements and three loops (D, anti-codon, and T loops). Further hydrogen bonds mediate the characteristic L-shaped molecular structure. tRNAs have two regions of fundamental functional importance: the anti-codon, which is responsible for specific mRNA codon recognition, and the 3' end, to which the tRNAs corresponding amino acid is attached (by aminoacyl-tRNA synthetases). tRNAs cope with the degeneracy of the genetic code in two manners: having more than one tRNA (with a specific anti-codon) for a particular amino acid; and 'wobble' base-pairing, i.e. permitting non-standard base-pairing at the 3rd anti-codon position. Lineage: Bacteria; Pseudomonadati; Pseudomonadota; Gammaproteobacteria; Enterobacterales; Enterobacteriaceae. The record is from RNAcentral. RNAcentral also lists the same sequence under 1 other name.
GGUGGGGUUCCCGAGCGGCCAAAGGGAGCAGACUGUAAAUCUGCCGUCAUCGACUUCAAAGGUUCGAAUCCUUCCCCCACCACCA